CAUCGGAACGUACCCAGAGGUGGGGGAUAACGCAGCGAAAGCUGUGCUAAUACCGCAUGUGAUCUGAGGAUGAAAGCGGGGGACUAGGCAGCGAUGCUUGGCCUCGCGCCUUUGGAGCGGCCGAUGUCGGAUUAGCUAGUUGGUGGGGUAAAGGCCUACCAAGGCGACGAUCCGUAGCUGGUCUGAGAGGACGGCCAGCCACACUGGGACUGAGACACGGCCCAGACUCCUACGGGAGGCAGCAGUGGGGAAUUUUGGACAAUGGGCGCAAGCCUGAUCCAGCAAUGCCGCGUGCGGGAAGAAGGCCUUCGGGUUGUAAACCGCUUUUGGCAGGAACGAAAAGCUCUGGGCGAAUACCCUGGGGUGAUGACGGUACCUGCAGAAUAAGCACCGGCUAACUACGUGCCAGCAGCCGCGGUAAUACGUAGGGUGCGAGCGUUAAUCGGAAUUACUGGGCGUAAAGCGUGCGCAGGCGGUUGUGUAAGACAGGCGUGAAAUCCCCGGGCUUAACCUGGGAAUGGCGCUUGUGACUGCACGGCUGGAGUGCGGCAG
RNAcentral lists this ribosomal RNA (552 nucleotides) under Tepidimonas taiwanensis. RNAcentral describes it as "bacterial SSU rRNA". It matches the Rfam family "Bacterial small subunit ribosomal RNA", at positions 116 to 654 of the family's 1533-position model. Lineage: Bacteria; Pseudomonadati; Pseudomonadota; Betaproteobacteria; Burkholderiales. The record is from RNAcentral.